GCCCCUGUCCCGGACAGAGUGGAAUAAGAGCGCCUCCUUCAAUCCCCACUCGCGCCUGCACCCAGAGCACCUGGGACACAGCGGCUCUGUCUUGGAGAACAGGUGCCUCAAUAGGGAGGGCCUGGCCAAACCUAUGCGCGGGAAGUGCGGAGCGGGAUGCAGGGGUGGGGCGGCAGGUGCAGGUAGUAGAGCCCAGGCAUGCGGUUGGGGGGUGGGGGGAAAUCUCACGUGCGAUCCCAGGUGCGGAACCCGCUGCUGGGAAUGGGGUGGAAGCAAAACAGGUACUGCACGCACAGGCGAGGUGCCUCGUGGGGGAAUCGAAUGUCAGGGAUGGUGGACAGUGCGGAUGGGCGGCAGGUGCUGGGGCUCAGGGGAGAUAACUCAGAGGCAGGCUCGGUGGAGAACCCAAGGCCGGCGACCAGGUGCAGGCGGCCCACAGGCCCUGGAGGCAUACAGCGGGGGGACAAGGUGGGAAGGAGGCCUAUGCCCCAAGAGCUCAACCUGUGCUGCAUCCAGGCCAGCUGCCACCCAGGGUAUGGGCCGCAGAUGCCCUAGGAUCCUUGCUGAUGCAUGAUGCAUACCGGUGCCCAGCGUGAGAGCCAUGGGAAGGCAGCACGCAGCCCUGGCUCUCCCGCCCAGGCCCCUGAUACCAGGCCAGAGAAAGACCCGCCACUAAGAGCUCAUUUCCCCCUGGCCGGAGACCCAGGGGUCUGUGGACUGCAGCGCUAGGGUCCAUGCCCAGGUACCCAUAUUCCUCAGUGGCCUCUGCCCACUGACCACCCCCGCUCUCUCCCUCACUGCUGAAUGUCCAGGACCUUACUCGACAAACACCCAUAGUUGUUCGAGGAGGAGUUAAUGUACUGAUGGAUGGAUGCAGGCAUUUGCUCAUUGACAUCACUGCCCACCCCACCAUCUGCUUGCCUUCUGGCCAUGCUUCAAGCAGGCACUUUGGAUACUGGACUGUCUUCUGUGAAUGUGGCUUUGGGCAGCACUAAUAACAAGAGCUAGUUACAGGGCCUCACUGUGUGCCAGGCACUGCACUGUGUACACUCUUACCUGUCCUGGUCGUUCAAUGAUUAAAUAUGCAGAUCUAGGAGGUGGCUCUUACAGAUGGGGAAGCUGAGGCAGAGAGAGGCAGAAUAACUUGCACACGGGCACACAGCUAGAAGACAAGCUAGCACCUGGGAAGUC
RNAcentral lists this long non-coding RNA (1191 nucleotides) under Homo sapiens (human). RNAcentral describes it as "non-protein coding lnc-SLC39A6-1:10". Lineage: Eukaryota; Metazoa; Chordata; Mammalia; Primates; Hominidae. The record is from RNAcentral.